GGAGGGUAUAGCUCAGUGGUAGAGUGCCUGCCUAACAUGCACGAGGUCCUGGGUUCAAUCCCCAGUACCUCCA
This 73-nucleotide transfer RNA is filed under the name Vicugna pacos (alpaca). RNAcentral's name for it is "tRNA-Val (AAC) (tRNA-Val-AAC-29-1)". It matches the Rfam family "tRNA". Rfam says of the family: Transfer RNA (tRNA) molecules are approximately 80 nucleotides in length. Their secondary structure includes four short double-helical elements and three loops (D, anti-codon, and T loops). Lineage: Eukaryota; Metazoa; Chordata; Mammalia; Artiodactyla; Camelidae. The record is from RNAcentral.